GAAAUUGUUUGGCCUCCAAACCAAGGCAACCAGUAGGAGGAUGUGGUUCAAACAUUUACCUUGCGACGCCGCAGGGCGAGAGGGGAGAGAAUGUAUUCGGGUGCCAUUAUUCAGAAUCAGUGAAUGCCAGUGGGAGGCAGGGAGAUAAGGAUGUUGGGUUAAGCCACAAGGAAUUUUUCAAAAUAAGCACAUGCUUGAACACACACAGAGAGAAAGAGACUUCAGAUACUGUUAAUUCAGAAGACUCUCAUCAUUCACUUUCCAAAUGAAUACCGGUUUCUAAUGGUCAGGUUUCUGUAGACCUAAUCAGAACUAUUUAAAUAUUUCAACAUGUCACAACAGAGAGAACAAUUACUAACAUUUCUGAAGUCCCAACAUUUCUGAAGUCCCAACAUUUCUGAAGUCCCGACAUUUCUGAAGUCCCUGCUACUACUCAAAACAGGGUUGACUCACUCAUGACUUUUUUAUUAUUAUAUUUUUAUUGAAGUUUUACCUUUAUUAUAUUUUCCAACUGUUGUACUGGAACAACAAUGAUUGUUUAGUUUAACUUUAACAGUUUUUGGCAGUUCUUUGUUAGAACAUUAUCAAUGUCAGCUGCUUCUAACCUAGUGAUUUUACUCUAAGUGUUUAAUGCCAGUGCUUUUGUUUUUUGGUGUGUUUCUUUGCCAAGUACUUUUGCAUUUUUAUAUGGCCAUUUGUUCAGAUUUAUUUUUUAUAUAUAUAAAUAUGGACUCAUGACCUUCUUGAUGUUGUUGGCCAACAAGAUUCUGACCCAUCUAUAUAUAUAAAAGAGUGAUGGCAUCAGGGCAGCGGACGAAACAACAAAACUACAGGCCCCCCAACCUCGAAAUUUGACAACACAACCCAUCAUUCACAGUUGUGGAAAGGAAAAAGGUUUGGAUCAUUGAUGUCGCCAUCCCAGGUGACAGUCGCAUUGACGAAAAACAACAGGAAAAACUCAGCUGCUAUCAGGACCUCAAGAUUGAACUUCAAAGAUUCUGGCAGAAACCAGUGCAGGUGGUCCCGGUGGUGAUGGGCACACUGGGUGCCGUGCCAAAAGAUCUCAGCCGGCAUUUGGAAACAAUAGGCAUUGACAAAAUUACGAUCUGUCAACUACAAAAGGCCACCCUACUGGGAUCUGCGCGCAUCAUCCGAAAAUACAUCACACAGUCCUAGACACUUGGGAGGUGUUCGACUUGUGAUUUUGUGAUCACAAGCAUAUCUAUCUUGUUUGCUGUGUCAUACAACAAUAAUAAUAAUAAUAAUAUAU
Molecule: long non-coding RNA, 1270 nt
Filed under: Anolis carolinensis (green anole)
Lineage: Eukaryota; Metazoa; Chordata; Lepidosauria; Squamata; Anolidae
Description: lncRNA (ENSACAG00000042136.1)
Source: RNAcentral